This 279-nucleotide ribosomal RNA is filed under the name uncultured bacterium. RNAcentral's name for it is "partial 16S ribosomal RNA". It matches the Rfam family "Bacterial small subunit ribosomal RNA", at positions 506 to 784 of the family's 1533-position model. The record is from RNAcentral.
UGCCAGUCGCCGCGGUAAUAUGGAGGGUACAUGCGUUAAUCGGAAUUACUGGGCGUAAAGCGCGCGUAGGCGGUUUGGUCAGUUGGAUGUGAAAGCCCCGGGCUUAACCUGGGAACUGCAUUCAAUACUGCCAGGCUAGAGUACGGUAGAGGGGGGUAGAAUUCCACGUGUAGCGGUGAAAUGCGUAGAGAUGUGGAGGAAUACCAGUGGCGAAGGCGGCCCCCUGGAUCGAUACUGACGCUGAGGUGCGAAAGUGUGGGGAGCAAACAGGGUUAGAUA